This 460-nucleotide ribosomal RNA is filed under the name uncultured bacterium. RNAcentral describes it as "partial 16S ribosomal RNA". It matches the Rfam family "Bacterial small subunit ribosomal RNA", at positions 338 to 795 of the family's 1533-position model. The record is from RNAcentral.
CCUACGGGAGGCAGCAGUGAGGAAUAUUGGUCAAUGGACGAGAGUCUGAACCAGCCAAGUAGCGUGAAGGAUGACUGCCCUAUGGGUUGUAAACUUCUUUUAUAUGGGAAUAAAACGUUCCACGUGUGGGAUUUUGUAUGUACCAUAAGAAUAAGGAUCGGCUAACUCCGUGCCAGCAGCCGCGGUAAUACGGAGGAUCCGAGCGUUAUCCGGAUUUAUUGGGGUUAAAGGGAGCGUAGGUGGAUUGUUAAGUCAGUUGUGAAAGUUUGCGGCUCAACCGUAAAAUUGCAGUUGAAACUGGCAGUCUUGAGUACAGGAGAGGUGGGCGGAAUUCGUGGUGUAGCGGUGAAAUGCUUAGAUAUCACGAAGAACUCCGAUUGCGAAGGCAGUUCACUGGACUGCAACUGACACUGAGGCUCGAAAGUGUGGGUAUCAAACAGGAUUAGAUACCCCAGUAGUC